Triticum aestivum (bread wheat) is the source of this 155-nucleotide non-coding RNA. The record is from Rfam. NCBI's taxonomy places the organism in Eukaryota, Viridiplantae, Streptophyta, Magnoliopsida, Poales, Poaceae.
AAAGUACUCCCUGCGUCCCAAAAUUCUUGUCAUAGAUUUGUCUAGAUACGGAUGUAUCAAGUUAGAUACGGAUGUAUCAAGUCACAUUUUAGUAUUAGAUACAUCCGUAUCUAGACAAAUCUAAGAUAAGAAUUUUGGGACAGAGGGAGUAGUUG